This 401-nucleotide ribosomal RNA is filed under the name uncultured bacterium. Its description in RNAcentral is "bacterial SSU rRNA". It matches the Rfam family "Bacterial small subunit ribosomal RNA", at positions 355 to 773 of the family's 1533-position model. The record is from RNAcentral.
UCGGGAAUUUUGGGCAAUGGGCGAAAGCCUGACCCAGCAACGCCGCGUGAGGGAUGAAGUAUUUCGGUAUGUAAACCUCGAAAGAAUGGGAAGAAUAAAUGACGGUACCAUUUAUAAGCUCCGGCUAACUACGUGCCAGCAGCCGCGGUAAUACGUAGGGAGCAAGCGUUGUUCGGAUUUACUGGGCGUAAAGGGCGCGUAGGCGGCGCGGUAAGUCACUUGUGAAAUCUCUGAGCUUAACUCAGAACGGCCAAGUGAUACUGCUGUGCUAGAGUGCGGAAGAGGCAACCGGAAUUCUUGGUGUAGCGGUGAAAUGCGUAGAUAUCAAGAGGAACACGUGAGGCGAAGGCGGGUUGCUGGGCCGACACUGACGCUGAUGCGCGAAAGCCAGGGGAGCAAAC